CCAGAUGUCUCUCCAUUCACACUCCUCCAGGACCAGAUGUCUCUCCACUCACUCUCCUCCAGGACCAGAUGUCUCUCCACUCACACUGCUCCAGGACCAGAUGUCUCUCCACUCACUCUCCUCCAGGACCAGAUGUCUCUCCACUCACACUCACACCGGAGCUGUGAAGAAAGAGAGGAGAACUGGUAGGAUGUGGAGGAUGUUUUUGUCAUUUUGAAGCUGAAGUCUCAGCCAGUGAGAGUGAAGAUGUUGGACUGAUGAAUGGAAGUAUGGAGGAAGAAAGAGAAGAACAAAAGGAUGGACUGACUAAUAGAAGUAAAGAAUAAAUAAAUAAAUGAUGUACAGCUCAACAGAGAAGAUGACUCAGUUUUAACAGUAGAGACGCUGACUGGCGUCAGUAGAAAUGUUGCUCCCCAUCAGAGCCAGCCAGAGGAGCCUGUUUGUGGGGGAGAAUGAACCAGAACAGAGAAGAUGACUGAGUUUUAACAGUAGAGACGCUAUCUGGUGGAUCUCAGAGUGAGACAGUUAAUGACUGCAUAUGAGAUACCUAUCUCCAUGAUGGGACAGACCUGGAACAUUGGGUUCAUCUGGACCUGGGAACUAUCCAGUGCAGGACUGAUGUUGUCCUUCAGAGCAAGGAACACUGGCCAACACCUUCCCUCCACCAAUCGAAGCGCAGUACAUACGUGUUUACCCACAAGUCUGCAGGGGCCACUGUAUCCUGCGCAUAUAGCUUAUAGACUGUGAGCUCACAGGUAGACCUAUUGGUUCCCACUAAAGUAACAGGUAUAGUGACUCAGGGAGCUAAGGACUUUGGCCGUGUCCAGUUUGUACUCUCAUAUAAACUGGCCUACAUCAAUGAUGGACUGAGGUGGACUAUGUACCCGGAGGAAGCACACCACAAGGACAAGGUGUAACAUUGACAACAACACCCACAGGAAGAACUUAAUCCAGCCGCCCCAUAUAUGGUCUCUUCCUCCGCCUCAUCCCCUGGUUCUGGUACAGACGUAUCACACUCAGGAUGGAGCUACUGGGCUGCACAGAGGACGACUGACCACCUCUCUCUCUCUCCCCCUCUCACUCUCUGGAAGUGGAGGUGUGGACACUGGUCAUUAGAGACACUGGAAACUAUAUUUGGACGUAAAGGUCACAAUAAGUGAUUUUGAUAUGAUUGGUUUACAGUGUGUUAUUUAUUUAUUGGAUUGUAAAGUACUGUACUUCUGCUCUUUAAUGUUUUCCCUUUACCGUGCUCCUGUGUGAUACCAUUUCCAACAGUUGUAAAGUAGUGUAGUGCCUAAAUAUUACAGGGUUAACUUUUCCAUGACCAACCUUCGACUAUUCCCUCCCUGACUACUAAGGGCCACAGUUUCUGAUGGAAAAACAGCCUUCUCAAAGCUCCACUAAAUAACCAUAACGUUUGAAAGUGGACAUCUUACAUUAAUCGUAAAUGAAAAGUUACAACAUUAUUCACGUUAUAAUGUGAGUAUCAAGGUAUUUCUUUAUGACAGAAAAUGUAAUCCAAAUUGUGCUUACCACUGUACAACAUAAACACUGGUAUAUUUAUUGAUACUGAUUUAAUACAAUAUUGAUUGUAGUAACAUAUACUGUAUCUGAUACAAAUUAACAAACCACUUUCUAUAUAGUAAAACAAGCAACAUAAUACAUGUAUUUCUCUCUGUGUCUGUUUGGGUAUCAAAUCAAAAGCGGUUGGAAUUAGGUGUUGAAUGGAUUGCUGCUGCUCUUAUACUCCUCAUGGUUCCUCCUGCUCCUCUGGUGAUGUAGCAGAGCCAUCUGCUGGUCAGAGAAGGUUACUGCAUGUCUCUUUAAAUCCUCGCCAGUUAGUCAUUUGGACAUCUCCAUUCAGACUGAUGCUCCAUCACUUCCUCUGGUCUUCUGAAACUGCUGUCCUAGAGUAUUAGUAGUAGUAUUAGUAGUAGUAUUAGUAGUAGUAGUGUGUGUGUGUGCAUGCAUGCAAGUGUGUAUUUGUGUGCCAGGUAAAGAGAGAGGCCAGCUGUUAGACCAGGUCACUGUUGAUAGCUCAGCUCUGUACUGUAGAGAAUCAUCCAAGACAAAACAAUCUCCAAACACUGAUGGCUUAUAAAGUUGUAUUUCUUUAUUUCAACGAUAUCAGUCUCAGGUGGUGUGAGAGUUCCAUUGGGAUAGAUUCCCACCAUUAAUAUGAGACAACACCGUGGUAACUGGAAGCUACAUCCAAAUCACUGAUUACUACCCACUGGGUAAUGGGUUCAACUAACAGACCAUAAUAAACACAUGUAUUACUCAUCAAUCCUUCACUGUGAUCUCUGAACCCUGAACCAAAUCUUGCGUGAGCAUCGCGUUGCCUGUCUGUCCACGAGCGAGUACUGUAGAGAUAUGCUUAAGGUUUCAACAUGGAACAUAACAUCAUAACAACAGUAUGCUGAUGAAUGUUGAUUGGUGAAGGUCAGCAAAUAGAAAAAAACAGUGUGACUGUGGUAAAAUAAUAACACUCCUACGUUGCUCUCACAGUGUAGGAUAAUACAGUGUGAUUCUCUCUAACUGGUCUCCUCUCUAACCCCUCCA
Molecule: long non-coding RNA, 2562 nt
Organism: Coregonus clupeaformis (lake whitefish)
Lineage: Eukaryota; Metazoa; Chordata; Actinopteri; Salmoniformes; Salmonidae
Exons: 3
Source: RefSeq, a predicted model, not a curated record